Molecule: ribosomal RNA, 253 nt
Filed under: uncultured bacterium
Lineage: Bacteria
Description: partial 16S ribosomal RNA
Rfam family: Bacterial small subunit ribosomal RNA
Source: RNAcentral
UACGGAGGGUGCAAGCGUUAUCCGGAUUCACUGGGUUUAAAGGGUGCGUAGGUGGGCAAGUAAGUCGCGUGUGAAAGCCCCCGGCUCAACUGGGGAGGGUCACGCGAUACUGCUCGACUCGAAGGCAGGAGAGGGAAGUGGAAUUCCCGGUGUAGUGGUGAAAUGCGUAGAUAUCGGGAGGAACACCAGUGGCGAAGGCGACUUCCUGGCCUGUUCUUGACGCUGAGGCGCGAAAGCUAGGGUAGCAAACGGG